UGUCCCACUGGAUGGCUACUGCUGGCUGGCUGAUCUGUCGGGUAUGAUCAAGAAUUCAACAUCAACGCUAUCAGCACCAAACUGAUCACCAAAUUGAUGAGUGAUGGAUCAACAAUCCGUCGGGUAGUACAAGCUGAAGUACAGAUAAUUGGGUGGAAUUUGUAGAGUUCAUAAUUUCAUAUGAUUGAGGUUACAAUAGCACGGUAUACUGUUCUUCAGUUCCAUUGCUUCAGAAACAAAACAAAACGGAAAUGAAAGCAAAAUGAAAAAAGAGAAAAAGAAAGUUGAAUAGAAAUGCGUGGUUAAUAAAUUGUCGCAUACUAUGUACUAGGAGUGGUGUUCUUGAUCAUCAGUUCAUCGCAUGGACGAGGCAGCUAUGGCGCUAGAGGCCUUUUCCCGCGCGCUUCAGCAGCACGGCCGGCACGAACGGCGCGGCGAAGGCGUAGGGGUCGACGGCGCCNNN
Molecule: long non-coding RNA, 463 nt
Filed under: Oryza brachyantha (malo sina)
Lineage: Eukaryota; Viridiplantae; Streptophyta; Magnoliopsida; Poales; Poaceae
Description: long non-coding RNA (OBRA_LNC001198)
Source: RNAcentral